RNAcentral lists this ribosomal RNA (1745 nucleotides) under Vibrio genomosp. F10 str. 9ZB36. RNAcentral's name for it is "bacterial LSU rRNA". It matches the Rfam family "Bacterial large subunit ribosomal RNA", at positions 1216 to 2925 of the family's 2925-position model. Lineage: Bacteria; Pseudomonadati; Pseudomonadota; Gammaproteobacteria; Vibrionales; Vibrionaceae. The record is from RNAcentral.
UUUGUACGUGGGGUAGGGGAGCGUUCUGUAAGCCGUUGAAGGUGGUCUGUAAGGGCUGCUGGAGGUAUCAGAAGUGCGAAUGCUGACAUGAGUAACGAUAAAGGGGGUGAAAAACCCCCUCGCCGGAAGACCAAGGGUUCCUGUCCAACGUUAAUCGGGGCAGGGUAAGUCGACCCCUAAGGCGAGGCCGAAAGGCGUAGUCGAUGGGAAACGGGUUAAUAUUCCCGUACUUCUUAUAAUUGCGAUGGGGGGACGGAGAAGGCUAGGUGGGCCUGGCGACGGUUGUCCAGGUUCAAGUACGUAGGCGGAAAGUUUAGGUAAAUCCGGACUUUCAUUAACGCUGAGAUACGAUGUCGAGCCACUACGGUGGUGAAGUCAUUGAUGCCAUGCUUCCAGGAAAAGCCUCUAAGCUUCAGAUUAUAAGAAAUCGUACCCCAAACCGACACAGGUGGUCGGGUAGAGAAUACCAAGGCGCUUGAGAGAACUCGGGUGAAGGAACUAGGCAAAAUGGUACCGUAACUUCGGGAGAAGGUACGCUCUUGGCGGUGAAGUCCCUUGCGGAUGGAGCUACUAGGAGUCGCAGAUACCAGGUGGCUGCAACUGUUUAUUAAAAACACAGCACUGUGCAAAAUCGUAAGAUGACGUAUACGGUGUGACGCCUGCCCGGUGCCGGAAGGUUAAUUGAUGGGGUUAGACUUCGGUCGAAGCUCUUGAUCGAAGCCCCGGUAAACGGCGGCCGUAACUAUAACGGUCCUAAGGUAGCGAAAUUCCUUGUCGGGUAAGUUCCGACCUGCACGAAUGGCGUAAUGAUGGCCACGCUGUCUCCACCCGAGACUCAGUGAAAUUGAAAUCGCUGUGAAGAUGCAGUGUACCCGCGGCUAGACGGAAAGACCCCGUGAACCUUUACUACAGCUUGGCACUGAACAUUGAACCUACAUGUGUAGGAUAGGUGGGAGACUUUGAAACUUCGUCGCUAGAUGGAGUGGAGUCAACCUUGAAAUACCACCCUUGUACGUUUGAUGUUCUAACGUUGGCCCCUUAUCGGGGUUGCGGACAGUGCCUGGUGGGUAGUUUGACUGGGGCGGUCUCCUCCCAAAGAGUAACGGAGGAGCACGAAGGUGGGCUAAACACGGUUGGACAUCGUGUGGUUAGUGCAAUGGCAUAAGCCCGCUUGACUGCGAGAAUGACAAUUCGAGCAGGUGCGAAAGCAGGUCAUAGUGAUCCGGUGGUUCUGAAUGGAAGGGCCAUCGCUCAACGGAUAAAAGGUACUCCGGGGAUAACAGGCUGAUACCGCCCAAGAGUUCAUAUCGACGGCGGUGUUUGGCACCUCGAUGUCGGCUCAUCACAUCCUGGGGCUGAAGUCGGUCCCAAGGGUAUGGCUGUUCGCCAUUUAAAGUGGUACGCGAGCUGGGUUUAGAACGUCGUGAGACAGUUCGGUCCCUAUCUGCCGUGGGCGUUGGAAGAUUGAAGGGGGCUGCUCCUAGUACGAGAGGACCGGAGUGGACGAACCUCUGGUGUUCGGGUUGUCACGCCAGUGGCAUUGCCCGGUAGCUAAGUUCGGAAUCGAUAAGCGCUGAAAGCAUCUAAGCGCGAAGCGAGCCCUGAGAUGAGUCUUCCCUGGCACUUUAAGUGCCCUUAAGGGUUGUUCAAGACUAGAACGUUGAUAGGCAGGGUGUGUAAGUGCUGCGAGGCAUUGAGCUAACCUGUACUAAUUGCCCGUGAGGCUUAACCAUACAACACCCAAG